AACGAACGCUGGCGGCAUGCCUAACACAUGCAAGUCGAACGAGACCUUCGGGUCUAGUGGCGCACGGGUGCGUAACGCGUGGGAACCUGCCCUUAGGUUCGGAAUAACUCCCCGAAAGGGGUGCUAAUACCGGAUAAUGUCUUCGGACCAAAGAUUUAUCGCCUUUGGAUGGGCCCGCGUUGGAUUAGCUAGUUGGUAGGGUAAAAGCCUACCAAGGCGACGAUCCAUAGCUGGUCUGAGAGGAUGAUCAGCCACACUGGGACUGAGACACGGCCCAGACUCCUACGGAAGGCAGCAGUGGGGAAUAUUGGACAAUGGGCGAAGGCCUGAUCCAGCAAUGCCGCGUGAGUGAUGAAGGCCUUAGGGUUGUAAAGCUCUUUUACCCGGGAUGAUAAUGACAGUACCGGGAGAAUAAGCUCCGGCUAACUCCGUG
This 433-nucleotide ribosomal RNA is filed under the name uncultured bacterium. RNAcentral describes it as "partial 16S ribosomal RNA". It matches the Rfam family "Bacterial small subunit ribosomal RNA", at positions 29 to 507 of the family's 1533-position model. The record is from RNAcentral.